CCUACGGGGGACAGCAGUGAGGAAUAUUGGUCAAUGGACGAGAGUCUGAACCAGCCAAGUAGCGUGAAGGAUGACUGCCCUAUGGGUUGUAAACUUCUUUUAUAUGGGAAUAAAACAGGGUAUGCAUACCCUCUUGUAUGUACCAUAUGAAUAAGGAUCGGCUAACUCCGUGCCAGCAGCCGCGGUAAUACGGAGGAUCCGAGCGUUAUCCGGAUUUAUUGGGUUUAAAGGGAGCGUAGGUGGAUUGUUAAGUCAGUUGUGAAAGUUUGCGGCUCAACCGUAAAAUUGCAGUUGAAACUGGCAGUCGUGAGUACAGUAGAGGUGGGCGGAAUUCGUGGUGUAGCGGUGAAAUGCUUAGAUAUCACGAAGAACUCCGAUUGCGAAGGCAGCUCACUGGACUGCAACUGACACUGAUGCUCGAAAGUGUGGGUAUCAAACAGGAUUAGAUACCCGAGUAGUC
This 460-nucleotide ribosomal RNA is filed under the name uncultured bacterium. RNAcentral's name for it is "partial 16S ribosomal RNA". It matches the Rfam family "Bacterial small subunit ribosomal RNA", at positions 338 to 795 of the family's 1533-position model. The record is from RNAcentral.